UACGGAGGGAGCUAGCGUUGUUCGGAAUUACUGGGCGUAAAGCGCACGUAGGCGGAUUGCUAAGUCAGGGGUGAAAUCCUGGAGCUCAACUCCAGAACUGCCUUUGAUACUGGCGAUCUUGAGUCCGGGAGAGGUGAGUGGAACUGCGAGUGUAGAGGUGAAAUUCGUAGAUAUCGGGAGGAACACCUGUGGCGAAGGCGGCCAUCUGGACGUUCACUGACGCUGAGACGCGAAAGCGUGGGUAGCAAACAGG
This 253-nucleotide ribosomal RNA is filed under the name uncultured bacterium. RNAcentral's name for it is "partial 16S ribosomal RNA". It matches the Rfam family "Bacterial small subunit ribosomal RNA", at positions 524 to 776 of the family's 1533-position model. The record is from RNAcentral.